Molecule: ribozyme, 66 nt
Filed under: Aedes aegypti (yellow fever mosquito)
Lineage: Eukaryota; Metazoa; Arthropoda; Insecta; Diptera; Culicidae
Description: drz-agam-1 ribozyme
Rfam family: drz-agam-1 ribozyme
Source: Rfam by way of RNAcentral
UGUCCAGCAACUCCUAUCCCAAACUCUUCGCGGUACUGGCCGGGGUACGAGUAACCUUAGGGAAGG